RNAcentral lists this ribosomal RNA (253 nucleotides) under uncultured bacterium. RNAcentral describes it as "partial 16S ribosomal RNA". It matches the Rfam family "Bacterial small subunit ribosomal RNA", at positions 524 to 776 of the family's 1533-position model. The record is from RNAcentral.
GACAGAGGGUGCAAACGUUGUUCGGAUUUACUGGGCGUAAAGCGCGUGUAGGCGGCCUUGCAAGUUGGAUGUGAAAGCCCACGGCUCAACCGUGGAAGCGCAUCCAAAACUGCAUCGCUCGAGUCUCGGAGAGGAAGGUGGAAUGCUUGGUGUAGAGGUGAAAUUCGUAGAUAUCAAGCAGAACACCUGCGGCGAAGGCGGCCUUCUGGACGAUGACUGACGCUGAGACGCGAAAGCCAGGGGAGCGAACGGG